AUCGUGCGAAUUUUGUCAACGAGGUUAAUUUUAAACUGUUUACAAGAUGGGUACUUUGGAGUAUUUUAUGCAAUUAGUAUUCGAAUUUCAUGUUUUUUACUUCUUUAAUUCAGGUUCUCGAAUUCACAAAUUGUUCCUUUCCACCGUUUUAUGUAUGAUGAACAUUGCAGUGUUAAUCACAAGCCAUCACCUCUGACCGUGUAUGACGGUCUGUUCACGGUCGACGUUCUCAUGUUGAUCUCGCUGACUAUUUCUUUAUUAUGGAUUGCUGAAGUGUUGAGACGUAUAAAGAUUACAUUUUUUCCAUGUGAAAAGUGUUUUGGUCACGAUGUCUUCAACGUAGUUCUGAUGAUUCUUCAAGUUUUUACAUUUCAUUACACAUCGUGUUGGGCUCUUACAGGUAUUUGCGAAGUUUCCGUAGCAAGAAAGAACAAUUAAAGCAGAUUACAAAUUUUUUUUUUUAUGACGAAGAAGAGUUGCAACCCUAUUUCAAGUUAUAGGAAAGAUUUAGUGUUGACCUCUCCUGAAAAUUUUAAUCUUUUUUUAAAAUAUACGCAAUGAAUUUUAAGACAAAUGUUCUGUAGCACUUAUUCUUUGUAUUAUUUAAUGAAUAUUCAGUUUUGUAUAAAAAUUUAUAUGUACUUUUCAGAAAGUUUUACAAAAAGUUUACCCUGAUGAGUGCAUCAAAAUGUAAUGACAAUUGUAUUGAUUAUCUUUUAAAUAAAGUGAAUUUUAUAAACCACCUUAAACUACUAUAUUCCUGAACAAAUCACUCUUUGAUGAAUUCAGGUAUAAUUCAAUCGAAAAUUCGAAUUCUCAUACUUGCUCUGUUGCAA
This is a long non-coding RNA of Centruroides sculpturatus (bark scorpion), 836 nucleotides long. RefSeq lists it as uncharacterized. The transcript is spliced from 3 exons. Lineage: Eukaryota; Metazoa; Arthropoda; Arachnida; Scorpiones; Buthidae. The record is from RefSeq and is a predicted model, not a curated record.